RNAcentral lists this ribosomal RNA (467 nucleotides) under uncultured bacterium. Its description in RNAcentral is "partial 16S ribosomal RNA". It matches the Rfam family "Bacterial small subunit ribosomal RNA", at positions 28 to 507 of the family's 1533-position model. The record is from RNAcentral.
GAUGAACGCUGGCGGCGUGCUUAACACAUGCAAGUCGAACGGAAAGGCCCAAGCUUGCUUGGGUACUCGAGUGGCGAACGGGUGAGUAACACGUGGGUGAUCUGCCCUGCACUUCGUGAUAAGCCUGGGAAACUGGGUCUAAUACCGGAUAGGACCACUUCUUGGAUGUUGUGGUGGAAAGUUUUUUCGGUGUGGGAUGAGCUCGCGGCCUAUCAGCUUGUUGGUGGGGUAAUGGCCUACCAAGGCGUCGACGGGUAGCCGGCCUGAGAGGGUGUACGGCCACAUUGGGACUGAGAUACGGCCCAGACUCCUACGGGAGGCAGCAGUGGGGAAUAUUGCACAAUGGGCGCAAGCCUGAUGCAGCGACGCCGCGUGGGGGAUGACGGCCUUCGGGUUGUAAACUCCUUUCGCUAGGGACGAAGCGUUUUGUGACGGUACCUGGAGAAGAAGCACCGGCUAACUACGUG